Molecule: long non-coding RNA, 4505 nt
Filed under: Octopus sinensis (East Asian common octopus)
Lineage: Eukaryota; Metazoa; Mollusca; Cephalopoda; Octopoda; Octopodidae
Description: uncharacterized LOC118763345
Source: RNAcentral
AGAUGAUAUAUAUAUACAUGUAGUAUUUAUUGAGAAAUCCUAGUCAAUUUGAUCUUCAAAAUAAAUUUGAUUCUAUUCUUAGAAUAGAGUCAUCCUAUCAGUAAAUGUUCUGUUGCUAUUUAUAAACAUACUCUAAAAUUAACACCUUAUAUUUUAACAAUUACAAUAUGGGGAACACAUAUUAACCAUUCAAAAAUACCCAAAGACUUAACUUUACUGAAACCUUUGUUAUUUUGUAUUAAACUCUUCAUUGCAUCAGCUGCGACCUAGUCACUAACACCAAAUAAUAAAUGUUUAAGUGAUGUUAACGUGUUGUGAACUGCUAAAAUGUAUCUUUCAUGCUGUAAUUGGUUUAGUUUCAACACUCUUGGAUCAAUUCACUUGCCAGACAAGUACAUAUCUUAUUUUCAACAUUUAAAUGGUAUUUAUAUCAAUUGUUGUGAUUAAUCAAUGCAACAGUAGAGUGUGAGAAUGUUCAUGAUUUUGCUGGGAAAGAAAGUUAACUGCCUCUGAGACUAAUCUUACACAUAAAGUGAGGUGUAUCAGAGUUUUCCCAGUUUUAUAUGGUUGAGUACUAUCUCCAUGUAUAGUAUGUUCCCCACUCCUAUGUGAGAAUGAAGCAUGUUUAACUAUCACCAUAAUCAUAUAGUACUCCCAUUGCCUACGGUUUUCAUAAUGUCUGUUUAGGGUGGCGAUGGCUGUGAAGAGUGGGUCUUUUAGCAUUAAAUGUCUUUGCCAGACACAAAAUGAAAUACUGAUGAUUUGACUAAUUAAGCCGAAGUCAGACAAUGUUAAUGACUUGGUUGAAUUCAAGCCAAUAAGGAAGUCUCUACAGAGUCACAUGAUCUGUAACAUUUCCCUCAAAUCACACCCUGCUAAAGGUCACAAUACAUGAUGUAGUUUUAGGUACAUGGGGAGGGAUGGUCAUGACAGGAACACUGUUGAUCUGUUGGAUUAAGUCUGACCUUAAACUAAACAACAAUACCAUCCUUAUCAUUUAAUGGUUGCAUCAAGCUCCAAUGUCAGCUUCAUUGUGGCUUCCAUGGCUGGAUGCCUUUCCUUAUGCCAACCACUUUACAACUUGUACUUGGUGCUUUUCUCAUGCCAUCAGUUCUAGGAGGUCACCAAAUAACUUGCAAUAGGGGGGAAAAGGGCUGGAAGCUGAAAAGAAAAGCUUCCUUGACUAAGUGUGAGUGGGUGAGUAUUUGGGAAGAGAUGUCUUUAUGCUAGGUUUGAGAGACUAAAGCAUGAUAGAGGGACAAGCACAAGUGACUUGCUAUAGAGGAGAUACAUAGCUACUCCAUACUAUAUAGUGGUAGACCAGAGUAGCUGGGAAGAAGAUAAGAUGGUAGUGAUUGGAAGCCAGGGCAAACUCUCAAGAAGGUAAGCAUAAGAAAAAAUACAAACAGUGGUUCAGUGGGGACGGAGAAGGGUUGUUUUGUAAGAGUAUGUUAGGAAAGUAACAGACAGUUGGAAAUGGGAAUAGAGGUGAAUGUAAUGAUUGAUAAACAAACAAUAAUUUGUUUAAUGUUCCCUUUCAGUAGUUUAACAUCCUCAUUAUGGUACCCACUCUGUUUCUCAUCUAAAAUUAAAUUUUGUAUCAUUUUAGAGAAUUGCAAUUAACCUUAUAAACUUUUAAAAUUUGCUUUAUUUUGUUACCUGCUAUGUUAUAUUUUAUUUAAUUUUAAUUGGUUUCAUUGUUAUUAUUUAGCCUUAGGAAAACAGUGAACUGGUAGAAUCACUAUCGCACCUGACAAAAUGCUAAACAGCAUUUCUUCUGUCUUUACACUCUGAGUUCAAAUUCUGCUGAUGUCAACUUUCACCCAUUUGGGGGUUAAUAAAAUAAAUACCAGUUGAACAUUGGAGUCAAUGUGACUUUCCCCCUCCCCCAAAACUGUUGGCCUUGUGUCAGAAUUGGAAAUCUGAUUAAAUAGAAUUAUGAUCAAAGGGCAAUCCAGCCAUGACUGUCACAUUUUUUAUUCAAACUUCAUGUAUUUAAUACAACAUUAUCUUAAGUAUUAUCUAGUUGAUACUGUUGUUGUUUAGCCUCAUUUUUGUCCUGAUUGAGCAGAUCUAUGAUCAAAAAGCAUUUUAGCUGUGGCACUCCAAACAUUCAGAAUUAUUUCAUCAAAAGUACUCUUUCUUUAUUUAAGAGAAUAGUGUUUGCUAUUUGAGAAAGUUGUUUAGUUGAAUGACCAUGUCAAGACCCUCUCAUUUACUCACUUAUUAAUCUUGUAGUAUAGCUGAUAUCCUCACUGUUUGAGAGAUAUAUUAAAAAUGAUCUUGUGUUAGAUAACAACCAUCUUUGGCUAUUUUGACCCUGUUGUGUCGACUGCUCUGAUUGGUUGGCUUACACAUUGGUGCAAAAUAAGUCAAAAGACAAACUGCACCAAAUGCCAACCAAUCAGAGCAGUGAACACAACAGGGUCAAAAUAGCCAAAGAUGGUUGUUAUCUAACACGUGAUAAUUUCUAAUAUAUCUCUCAAACAGUGGGAUAUAGGUUACGCUACAAUCUCUUACCUGUCCAAAGCAUUUUCAUUAGUGUGUCCUGAAUGUCCAUCCUUGUUUUCAGACUUUUAUUUAGCCCCCUUGUUUCAUAUAUGCAGAGUAAUAUAAAGCUUCUCUUUUAUAAGUUUCAAGUUAGUCUGGCACUUGAAAAGACACAUGGAUGCAAGGGUAAUAUGCCGUGUGUGUCACAUGUGAUGCACAAGACAGGCAAAAGGUUAAUUAGUUUUAGCAAUUAAUCUGUCCAUAACCUUCCAGAAGGAUCUGACUCUCCUAAAACUACCCUUUAAUCCAAACAAAUAUUCUGUUGUUUGCAUCUUUUUGAGUUUUUUUGUUGCUUUUGUUUUAAUGUUUUCUGUAUGAGACAACAUGGUAAAGAAGCUUUCUUUUAUCAAGAAACACUUUCAUUCAAAUCCUACAAUUUAUUUAAUCUUUAUUGCAUCUAAAAGUUUUUAUUAUUGUUGUGUUAUUCAUCUGUUUUGUAUAUUCUGGCAAAUAUUAUAUAUCACUGUAUUUUAAAAUUUCAUAUAAGUCACACACACACACACACAUAGUUCUUAACAGUUUAACUCGAAGUUGAUAAAGCUAUAAAUAAUAGAAUGUAAAUAUUGGGUUAAAAAGCCCUUUGGAUAGAAAAUGUUGAAUUUUCUAAAUUCUUAUGACAUAACCAAUGUGUGUGUGUGUGUGUGUGCAUACACACACACAACAACAACAACAAUUGGUAACUUUCUGAUUGACGACAUGUCAUAACUAGGAAUAUAGUGCUCAACAAUAUAAAUGUAAAACUGCUCAAUUUCUCUUUUAGUGAGGAUUUUUUUCUGACAUAUGGACCACUAACAGAUAUGUAAGAAGGACAUCUAACUGUAAAAACCCUGCCAAAACAGACACAAAAGUCUGAUGCAGGGUCCUAUCAAACCGUCCAGCCCAUGCCAGCAUGGAAGGUGGACAUUACAUGAUUAUUAUUAUACACGCACACACACAUUCACACUCGCAUACACGUGUUUAUGUGUACACAUGCGCAUGAUUUAAUGUGCACAGAUGUAUUUCCAUAGACUACAUAAUUUUAUCAGUAAAGCUCUUACCAAGAAACGUUUCUAACUGAAGUUUUUUUUUCAACCCAGACUAACAAGUGAAAACUUUUAUAUGAAGAAAGCAAAUAUAGACUCUAUAUUUUGCCCAAAUCUCAUAUUCUCAUGUGAUGCCUCAUUGCUAUAGGGUUGGUAAUUCUAAUUAUACCUCUUAACUUUUACCCUAUGUUCUUUCAAAAAAAAAUGUAUUCCUUCAUCAAAGUGUUUACAACGAUAUUUAAGAUUCCUGUGUGUGUGUAUGUAUACAUACACACAUAAAUGUGUACAUACAUAUACACACAUAAUCAUUUGUAUGUAUUUUCAUUUGUAUCAACAACUAUGUGCAUACAUAAUUAUAAAUACACAUAUGUGUCUCUCUCUCUCUCUAUAUAUAUGCAUACACACACAUAUAUACAUGUGUAUACACACACUCAAAUAUAUCCUCAUUUGUAUCUACAACCAUGUAACUAUGUGCACAUAUACUAAUGUAUACACCACUAAGAAUGAACUCAAAAUUAUAUUGAUUUACAAUUGGUUGUCAAUAAUUUAAUUAGUCACAUUAAAAAUUGAGACAAGAGUCCCUUCACCAUUCCUCCUUCAAAAAGUAAGGAAGCAAUGUAAUAAAAAAUCACAGAGAAGUACAGAUUAAAAAAGAAGCACUACAAUUUUAUUCCAAAUUAAACAAUUCUGAUGCCUAAUUUUCCCUAUUAAAUAUGAUUAACUUUGAAUGAUAUGUUUCUGUUUAUCCUCUAAAGUAUUAUUCUAAACAGCAAAUGAUGCCUUCACACAUGUCUAUUCACAGGAUCAUUGAUUUUGUUUUUCUAAUCAAUAUAUAUAUUUUUUUUAGUUUAAACAUACAAGCUGACUAAAACACCUUUAGCUCAUCGAUUUGACCCAGUCUAUGUAUUUUGUGACAUGGAUUUACAAUUAAUA